GAUCAUGGCUCAGAUUGAACGCUGGCGGCAGGCCUAACACAUGCAAGUCGAGCGGUAACACAGGGAGCUUGCUCCUGGGUGACGAGCGGCGGACGGGUGAGUAAUGUCUGGGAAACUGCCUGAUGGAGGGGGAUAACUACUGGAAACGGUAGCUAAUACCGCAUAACGUCGCAAGACCAAAGAGGGGGACCUUCGGGCCUCUUGCCAUCAGAUGUGCCCAGAUGGGAUUAGCUAGUAGGUGGGGUAACGGCUCACCUAGGCGACGAUCCCUAGCUGGUCUGAGAGGAUGACCAGCCACACUGGGACUGAGACACGGCCCAGACUCCUACGGGAGGCAGCAGUGGGGAAUUUUGGACAAUGGGCGCAAGCCUGAUCCAGCAAUGCCGCGUGCAGGAAGAAGGCCUUCGGGUUGUAAACUGCUUUUGUACGGAACGAAAAGGUCCGGGUUAAUACCCUGGGCUCAUGACGGUACCGUAAGAAUAAGCACCGGCUAACUACGUG
RNAcentral lists this ribosomal RNA (501 nucleotides) under uncultured bacterium. RNAcentral's name for it is "bacterial SSU rRNA". It matches the Rfam family "Bacterial small subunit ribosomal RNA", at positions 15 to 507 of the family's 1533-position model. The record is from RNAcentral.